RNAcentral lists this ribosomal RNA (1798 nucleotides) under Rhizolepas sp. RNAcentral's name for it is "partial large subunit ribosomal RNA". It matches the Rfam family "Eukaryotic large subunit ribosomal RNA", at positions 47 to 1603 of the family's 3401-position model. The record is from RNAcentral. Lineage: Eukaryota; Metazoa; Arthropoda; Thecostraca; Rhizolepadidae.
UAAGUGCAGGAAAAGAAACCAAAUGGGAUUCCCUCAGUAACGGCGAGUGAAGUGGGAUCAGCUCAGCACCGAAGCCGGCCGUCGAGAGGUGGUCGUGCAAUGUGGUGUUCGGGAGGGCUCUGUCCGAGUCCGGCUUUGGUCCAAGUCUCCUGGAAAGGAGUUCCAUGGAGGGUGACAGGCCCGUGCGACCAAUAGCCGUGUUCGCGGACGAGUCCUCUUUCGAGUCGGGUUGUUCGCUAAUGCAGCCCUAAGCAGGUGGUAAGCUCCAUCUAAGGCUAAAUAUAACCACGAGUCCGAUAGUCAACAAGUACAGUGAUGGAAAGUUGAAAAGUACUCUGAAGAGAGAGUCAAAUAGCCCGUGAAGCUGCCAGUAUGGGAUUAAGCGCACGUGCGGCGCGUGUCGUCGGACAAAUAGGCGACUGUUGUGCGUACGGCGUGUACGGUGUGCGUCCUGAUCGGGCGUGCAUUGUGCGUGCACAUGUGUGCGUGCCACAGAACGCUUCCCUUUGUUCGGCAUUGACAGGUCGGGGCUUCGUUGUCACACACAGGUCUUACUGCCGACAGUGAUCCAUAGAGCCGGACUGGGCGGUCGUCAACUUCGGUCGGCGACCGUGCUCCGCUGAAUGUGGUCCUUUGCGGACGCAGCGGCUGGUCUGGUCUACGGUGUAAUGCUGUCGCGUGCGCGAACGACCGGGCGACGGCCAACGCAUUCGAAUCUCACGAUUCGGCUCGACCUUUGCGCUGUCACGUGCGGCCCGUCUUGAAACACGGACCAAGGAGUCUAACAUGUGAGCGAGCGAUUGAGAUUGUCGAAUCUCAAACGCGCAAUGAAAGUGAAGUGUCGUCUGACGGCACGAGCGGUGAUCUGACGCCACUUGUGGCGGCAGCGCAACCGCGGGCCGCGCCAUGGGCUGGCUUGCUUUUCGGAGCACUGCUCAGGCGCGGACCUAGAGCCCACACGUUGGGACCCGAAAGAUGGUGAACUAUGCCUGGUCAGGAUGAAGCCAGAGGAAACUCUGGUGGAGGUCCGCCGCGAUUCUGACGUGCAAAUCGAUCGUCUGAACUGGGUAUAGGGGCGAAAGACCAAUCGAACCAUCUAGUAGCUGGUUCCGCCCGAAGUUUCCCUCAGGAUAGCUGGCGCUUGUCUGAUACGGAGUUUCAUCCGGUAAAGCGAAUGAUUAGAGGAGCUGGGGUCCUUGCGACCUCAACCUAUUCUCAAACUUUCAAUGGGUGAGACGUCUCGCUGGCUUCAGUGCAGCGACGACUCUGAAUCCGAGUGCCCAGUGGGCCACUUUUGGUAAGCAGAACUGGCGAUGCGGGAUGAACCGCAUGUCGAGUUAAGGUGCCUAAGCGGACGCAAAUCAGAUACCAUGAAAGGUGUUGAUUGCUCACGACAGCAGGACGGUGGCCAUGGAAGUCGGCAUCCGCUAAGGAGUGUGUAACAACUCACCUGCCGAAGCAAUCAGCCCUGAAAAUGGAUGGCGCUAAAGCGUUCCACCGAUACUCGACCGUCGUCGGCAUGCGACGGACUUGCUCCGUCUGACGCCACGACGAGUAGGGCGGCGCGGCGGUGAGCGUUGAAGGCGUGACCGUGAGGUCAGCUGGAGCCGCCGUCGGUGCAGAUCUUGGUGGUAGUAGCAAAUACACAAGCAAGAUCCUUGUGGACCGAUGUGGAGAAGGGUUCCGCGCGAACAGUAUUUGGACGUGGGUGAGUCGGCCCUAAGCCAACGGGUAAUUCCCGCAUCCCGAUGUGUUCACCAUUAUUGCAUUGAAUACAACGGGUUGAUGGCGAAAGGGA